AACAACAGAAAUGUUGAUUUUGAUGGCAGACUGUUGUCAUUGUGUAGUCUAAGCAAAGCCUCUCUCAUAUCAACCAUGACUGGCAAUAAAACUAAUCCAUUCCAGGAGAGUGAAAUGUUAAAGAAUUUCUCAGCAUUUCUGAAAUAAAGACAUCAUGCGAGAUUUAACUCGCUAGAAAUAUGAUCAGGUCUCAAAAAAUGUCUUAGGGGCCUUGUCUCUUUCUGUAUGAAAAAUGGGCCUGACUUUAAUCAAGAGAAAAAAAUACCAUCUUUCUAAGAAUCAUCAUCAUUAUUUGUGGAUGAAAGGUGGCAUUAGCAUCAACUAGGUCAAAGUCUUUAAAUAUCUUGGGGUCUCUUUUUAUGCCUCUACAUCCUGGAAAUAACAGAUAAAGACAGUGUUCACAAAGACUCAAUG
This is a non-coding RNA of Pantherophis guttatus, 414 nucleotides long. Lineage: Eukaryota; Metazoa; Chordata; Lepidosauria; Squamata; Colubridae. The record is from RefSeq and is a predicted model, not a curated record.